RNAcentral lists this ribosomal RNA (268 nucleotides) under uncultured bacterium. RNAcentral describes it as "partial 16S ribosomal RNA". It matches the Rfam family "Bacterial small subunit ribosomal RNA", at positions 1234 to 1500 of the family's 1533-position model. The record is from RNAcentral.
ACGGUACAACGAGUCGCAAGCUCGCGAGAGUAAGCUAAUCUCUUAAAGCCGUUCUCAGUUCGGACUGUAGGCUGCAACUCGCCUACACGAAGUCGGAAUCGCUAGUAAUCGCGGAUCAGCAUGCCGCGGUGAAUACGUUCCCGGGCCUUGUACACACCGCCCGUCCCACCAUGGGAGUUUGUAACGCCCAAAGUCGGUGGCCUAACCUUUAUGGAGGGAGCCGCCUAAGGCGGGACAGAUGACUGGGGUGAAGUCGUAACAAGGUACC